GCUUGUUAAACAGCUUCAAACAGUGGCAACUGAUGAGAUGGACAACAAGCUGCUUCAACUAUACUCCUAUGAAAAAUCAAGAAAACCUGGAAGAUUUGUUGAUGUAGUUUAUCAUGAAAAUGCCCGUGUUCUUCUCCAUGAUGAGAACAUAUAUCGUAUAGAAUGUUCUUCCACACCAACCCAUUUGUCUAUUCAGCUAAUGGACUUUGAACAUGAUAAGCCUGAAGUGACUGCUGUCUCCAUGGAUCCUAAUUUUGGAGCUUAUCUGCAUAAUGAGUUCCUCUCCAUUGUUCCUGACAAGAAAGAGAAGCCUGGGAUAUUCCUGAAAAGGAAUAAAAACAGAUGUGUGAGUUGUGAUGAAUGCAAGGCUACAGAAGGAUUUCAAGUUUUUAAUGGUCU
RNAcentral lists this unclassified non-coding RNA (399 nucleotides) under Hevea brasiliensis (rubber tree). Lineage: Eukaryota; Viridiplantae; Streptophyta; Magnoliopsida; Malpighiales; Euphorbiaceae. The record is from RNAcentral.